GGGCGCUAAAGGCGGCGGCGGCCUUGUGUUUAGACUCCAGAACUACCCACUUGCCGCGUUCUCGCCGCCGCAGGCUCCCGGGACGAUGGUGCCCCGCCUGCUGCUGCGCGCCUGGCCCUGGGGCCCCGCGGUUGGUCCGGGAGCCCCCAGUCGGCCCCUCAGCGCCGGCUCCGGGCCCGGCCAGUACCUGCAGCGCAGCAUCGUGCCCACCAUGCACUACCAGGACAGCCUGCCCAGGCUGCCUAUUCCCAAACUUGAAGACACCAUUAAGAGAUACCUCAGUGCACAGAAGCCUCUCUUGGAUGAUGGCCAGUUCAGGAAAACAGAACAAUUUUGCAAGAGUUUUGAAAAUGGGAUUGGAAAAGAACUGCACGAGCAGCUGGUUGCUCUGGACAAACAGAAUAAACAUACAAGCUACAUUUCGGGUAGGUAGGCUGGGCUGUGGGUAUGAUUUCUCCCAGAGCCCUCCAUAAUGAAAAGUAAGGCAUAUUCUCUCCUGUUUUGGUCUCAGAGAUAUUUUUGGUGAGACCAGCAAAUGAAGUAACGUCUCAUCCUCCCUUCCUGAGGUAAAUUAAGGCUGAGUGUGUUCCUCCUCUACUGAGGUGUUGACUUGAGCCCAUGCUCAAGAAUGAUGGCCAGCCUUCUCUGUAGAUGGGAUUGAGGCAGAACCUAAUCAAUGGUCCUGUCUGAAAAGGAUGCAGGAUUAAGUCCUAUGUCCUAUAUCAUUCUGGGUCCUUCACUGUCAGACAGAACUGUCCUCUCCAGCCUCUUC
This 772-nucleotide small RNA is filed under the name Pan troglodytes (chimpanzee). RNAcentral describes it as "retained intron". Lineage: Eukaryota; Metazoa; Chordata; Mammalia; Primates; Hominidae. The record is from RNAcentral.